GCCGUUUUUGAUGAUGGAGUUUUCGAAUCGACGAUCGGCUCCGUUAAACUUGAUCUACCGUAUUUAAAGUUUCUAGAAAAUAAUUUUUGCGAUUUUUCGAUAUCAUUUACCUAGCAAUCGAAAGGAUUCAAAAUCAAUAAUUUUUAAUGGCUGAAAAUAAAAAUCCUAUAAAAAGUGGUGAUAUAGCACUAAAAUUUUCGAUCAGAAAUAUAGAUCUUGUUGUAGAUAGUAUAAAGAAUUUUCUAUCAAAAUUUCAUCUGAUUUGAAUAUUUCUACACCGUUAAACUUGAAAACGGCAGAUAUCAACCAUUAAAAAUUAUGAAUUUUGAAUCCUUUCGAUCACUAGGUAAAUGAUAUCGAAAAAUCACAAAAAUUAUUUUCUAGAAACUUCAAAUGCGCUAGAUCAAGUCUAACGGAGCCGAUCGUCGAUUCGAAAACUCCAUCAUCAAAAACGGCUCAGGAGCACGGAGGC
Molecule: long non-coding RNA, 472 nt
Filed under: Ananas comosus (pineapple)
Lineage: Eukaryota; Viridiplantae; Streptophyta; Magnoliopsida; Poales; Bromeliaceae
Description: long non-coding RNA (ACOM_LNC034909)
Source: RNAcentral